CGAUUGUCUCUCACGUUCCCACAUUAGGGAAAAAAGGAAGAAAAAAAAAUAACUCCACCAUUCCCUUCCCUCUCGCGAGCUCAGAUCACGCGAAGCAAGGAAAAAAGAAAAAUGGCGCAGCUGGUGGAGACGUACGCGUGCUCGCCGGCCACGGAACGCGGCCGUGGAAUCCUCCUGGCCGGGGACCCCAAGACAGACACGAUCGCCUACUGCACCGGCCGCAGCGUUAUCAUCCGCCGCCUCGAUGCGCCUCUCGACGCUUGGGCCUACCCCGACCACGCCUACCCCACGACCGUCGCCCGCUUCUCCCCCAACGGCGAGUGGGUCGCCUCCGCCGACGCCUCCGGCUGCGUCCGCGUCUGGGGCCGCUACGGUGACCGCGCUCUCAAGGCCGAGUUUCGGCCCCUCUCGGGACGCGUCGACGACCUCCGCUGGUCCCCCGACGGCCUACGCAUCGUCGUCUCUGGGGACGGCAAGGGCAAGUCCUUCGUCCGCGCAUUUGUGUGGGACUCUGGCAGCACUGUUGGUGAAUUUGAUGGGCACUCAAAGAGGGUUCUGAGCUGUGACUUCAAACCAACACGUCCAUUUCGCAUUGUGACAUGUGGUGAAGAUUUUCUGGCUAACUUCUAUGAAGGACCACCAUUCAAAUUUAAGCAUUCCAUAAGGGAUCACUCAAAUUUUGUUAACUGUAUCCGGUAUGCUCCUGAUGGUAGUAAGUUUAUCACUGUGAGUUCUGAUAAGAAGGGUUUGAUAUAUGAUGGCAAAACUGGAGAAAAAAUAGGAGAACUUUCCACUGAAGGCAAUCAUACAGGGAGCAUAUAUGCUGUUAGCUGGAGUCCUGACAGUAAACAGGUUCUAACAGUUUCUGCUGAUAAAUCUGCAAAAGUAUGGGAUAUCAUGGAAGAUGCAAGUGGGAAAUUGAAUCGAACUUUGUCUUGCCCUGGUAUAGGAGGUGUGGAUGAUAUGCUUGUUGGUUGUCUCUGGCAGAAUGACCACCUCGUGACAGUCUCUCUUGGUGGGACAUUUAAUGUGUUCUCUGCAAGCAACCCAGACCAAGAACCAGUUACAUUUGCAGGACAUUUGAAGACUGUUAGUUCUUUGGUCUUCUUUCCUCAAAGUAGCCCAAGAACUAUACUAUCUACUAGCUAUGAUGGUGUCAUCAUGAGGUGGAUACAGGGUGUUGGAUUUGGUGGCAGAUUGGUGCGCAGAAACAACACUCAAAUAAAAUGUUUUGCUGCAGUAGAAGAAGAGCUUGUUACCUCAGGUUAUGAUAAUAAGGUCUUCAGAAUUCCUCUUAAUGGAAACCAGUGUGGAGAUGCUGAGUCAGUUGAUAUAGGCGGUCAGCCAAAUGCUUUGAACCUUGCAAUUCAGAAACCUGAAUUUGCACUGAUCACUACUGAUUCCGGGAUUGUGUUGCUGCACAAUUCAAAAGUCAUUUCUACAACAAAAGUUAACUAUGCCAUCACGUCAUCUUCAGUGUCUCCUGAUGGCACAGAAGCUGUUGUGGGUGCUCAAGAUGGGAAACUGCGAAUCUAUUCCAUCAGUGGCGAUACACUCACAGAAGAAGCUCUGCUUGAGAAGCACCGGGGUGCUAUCACUUCCAUACAUUAUUCGCCAGAUGUUUCUAUGUUUGCUUCUGCUGAUACCAACAGGGAAGCUGUUGUGUGGGAUCGAGCAAGUAGAGAGGUCAAGCUGAAGAACAUGUUGUACCACACAGCCAGGAUAAACUCCCUGGCUUGGUCACCUGACAGUCGAUUGGUUGCCACUGGCUCACUGGACACCUGUGCAAUUGUCUACGAGAUAGACAAGCCGGUAGCCAGUCGCGUCACCAUCAAGGGAGCCCAUCUUGGUGGGGUUCAUGGGUUAACCUUCCUCGACAAUGAUAUUCUGGUGACUGCCGGUGAAGAUGCUUGCAUUCGUGUUUGGAAGGUGGUGCAGCAAUAGGCCGCUCUUCAUUCUGGUGUGCAAUGAGAAUGUCUGUGCUGUUGAUUGGAAUAAACUUUUUUUUUGUUGGUUUGGUGGCUGUUACUCACGGGGUCAUAGCAUGGAAGACUCCUUUGUAAGUGGAUCCGGUAUCCCUGCAUCUGAUUUUGUUAGGAGUUGUGAGAAUAUAGGGAUACUGUUGUUGCUUUUUCUACCCCAGGUCCCUAAAAUAGUCGUUAAUAACUGACUUCGCUGUGGUUAAGUUUUUACGAACGUUGACUGUGCUUUCA
Zea mays is the source of this 2213-nucleotide RNA transcript. It is a transcript of the gene named Actin-interacting protein 1-2, with no coding region annotated. The transcript is spliced from 7 exons. The record is from RefSeq and is marked validated. NCBI's taxonomy places the organism in Eukaryota, Viridiplantae, Streptophyta, Magnoliopsida, Poales, Poaceae.